RNAcentral lists this long non-coding RNA (2111 nucleotides) under Phoenix dactylifera (date palm). RNAcentral's name for it is "long non-coding RNA (PDAC_LNC010156)". The record is from RNAcentral. Lineage: Eukaryota; Viridiplantae; Streptophyta; Magnoliopsida; Arecales; Arecaceae.
CAUGCGGCCGGUUGCGUGCCGGACCCGGGUGGUGGGUUCGGGGCAUGACAGAGUGGUAUCAGAGCUUAAGGUUAAGGUAUCCUAGGGUUUAUGUUCAGGUAAGUAUCAGUGGAGAAUUAUGAUAGAAAAACUAUCAGAGAUUUGGUUUAUAAUCACUUGAGAUUGUAACAAGAAUGAUAUUAUAAUCUAAGGUUUAAGACCACUAGGGACUGUGGCCUUAGUGGCAUUAAAGUUUGAGGUUUAAGAUUAUUGGAAAAUGUGACCAGUUGGAAUCUAAGCAUAUGUUUAAGAUCACUAGGGAUCGUGACAGAAAUAUAUCAUAGCUUAAGGUUAUGAUCACUUUGGACAUGACAAUUAAAUUCAGUGCUUAAGCUGUAAGAUCACUGGGCAUUGUGAUAAAAUGUAUGCAUCGGUUUGGUUUUCGAUGCAUACGGAAGGAAAGUAUAAAUUGUCUCUGAUCAUGAUAAGAGAGGUUUGACCUAAGAUAAGUGUAGGUCAACAAUGGCAUAUCGAGUAUACCAUGUUCAGAUAUUAUUUAAAUGAUUUGAAAGCUCAAAUUUGAUGUGGGUUUUGAUGUGAUCAUACUUUUGGUUUUGCUGCUAAUUAUUAGAGUGGGAUUUGUACGUUGAUUUAGUAUUGGAGUAAGCUAAGGAGAUUUCAUAAUAUUGAAAGAAACGUUCUUCGAAGUUGAAAAUGUAUGUGGAUUAUAUCUGGUGUUGGCAUGUUGGAUAUUGCAAAUAGGUCUAUUUUCUAUGGAUGUAUUUGAUUAUUUUGAGGCCAUAGAGUAUGCAUAUUGAUGGGAGAAUUCUAAUUAUUUGAAUUCUCAUGUUUGGAUUGGGUUACUGGAUUUUACUUAUAAUUGUAGAAGACUAUUUGAUGUGUUAAUUUAAAACUCAAGCCUAGGUUUAAGAUUUGAGCAGGGAUCUUUUGUCAUUGUUGAUGAAGCCACUAAUAAAUGUCAUAUUGAGUAGAGACUUCGGUCAUGAGAUGCUUACAUGAAUUAUAAUAUAUAGCAUUGUUGAUGGAUGUUAAGAAUCUUGGUGAAGGAAGAUCAGGAGAUCGAUCGAGUUAAAUUCUAAUCAUAGUGUAUUGGCUCAAUGACUUCUAACCCAUUGAAUUUGAAGUAAAUUCUGUUGGAAGGAAAAUCAAUGUAGAUCUUCUAAUUAAAUUGCUAAGGGAAUACAAGAAUUACCUCCCUUUAAAUUAAACUUAGAUAUUUUGGAUUCUAAAAAGGUUAUGGAGAUCACGUAGUGACCUUAAACUUGACUAAAGGAUUGGGGGUUAGUUAUGGUAAGUACACUCUAUAUAAAUCGAGGACAAAAAGAUCUAGAGGUUUUGCUCUAGUUCUACUUGAAAAUUUAAAAUUUGGAUUUUCUUAGUCACGGUGCAAAGUGAUGCUUUGGUUAGAAAUCAUUUUGUGACUUUAAAGAAUUUAAUGAGUUAGAUCAGAGUGCGCAGCAGAAGUGUAGUGGCUUGAGUUAUUUUGAAACCGAUUAAGGAAAAAAAAAUAAUAAUAAUAAUACCUUGAUCUGAAAGGUAUUAUGAUAGAAGACUUGAGUUAGUUUUCUAGUAGAGGGGAAUGUCGUUGAUUCUUUGCCUACUGGAAGUAGUUAUGGGCUCUCCUAUUUUUAAUAAUUCUAAGAAGAAUUUUGGGGCAUCUCAAAUUUAGCGUUAACAGAUUGAUAGCUCAGUGAUUAAGCUUGGUCUUGGAAUGAUUUAACAUAGUUCUUCGACUCCUAGCUCUGACAUUGUUAAUAUACCUAUUUGAACAGGUUUGCGAUUUUCCUAGGAUAAAGGUUGAUCAUUUAAUCACAGGCAAAGUUAAGAAAAGAAAAAUGAUUAUAGAAUAUUAAGAGCAUUUGAUACUAAAGAUUUCUCCUAUUUCUAUUAAGCCAAUUAUGAUCUCUAUGUAGAAUCAAGAGAAAUUAAUUUCUUUGGGAUAUAAUUAUGGCAUUUUAAUCCAAGGUUGGGAGUUUGGAAUUCUUUUGAAGGAGAUCAAAAGAACUUACUACGUGUGGUAAAUAGAAAGGAUCAAGUUUUGAGAUGCUAUGAUUUUUGUAUGUCAAAAUCUUGUGAGUAGGUACUCCGAGAGGGAGACUAUUUGAGAUCUC